GGAGAGGGUAUAGCUCAAGUGGUAGAGCACAUGCCUAACAUGCAUGAGGCCCUGGGUUCAAUCCCCAGUACCUCCA
RNAcentral lists this transfer RNA (76 nucleotides) under Vicugna pacos (alpaca). RNAcentral's name for it is "tRNA-Val (AAC) (tRNA-Val-AAC-47-1)". It matches the Rfam family "tRNA". Rfam says of the family: Transfer RNA (tRNA) molecules are approximately 80 nucleotides in length. Their secondary structure includes four short double-helical elements and three loops (D, anti-codon, and T loops). The record is from RNAcentral. Lineage: Eukaryota; Metazoa; Chordata; Mammalia; Artiodactyla; Camelidae.